RNAcentral lists this ribosomal RNA (253 nucleotides) under uncultured bacterium. RNAcentral's name for it is "partial 16S ribosomal RNA". It matches the Rfam family "Bacterial small subunit ribosomal RNA", at positions 524 to 776 of the family's 1533-position model. The record is from RNAcentral.
UACGAAGGGGGCUAGCGUUGUUCGGAAUUACUGGGCGUAAAGGGCGCGUAGGCGGUUCUCUAAGUCAGGGGUGAAAUCCUGGAGCUCAACUCCAGAACUGCCUUUGAUACUGAAGAUCUUGAGUCCGGGAGAGGUGAGUGGAACUGCGUGUGUAGAGGUGAAAUUCGUAGAUAUUCGCAAGAACACCAGUGGCGAAGGCGGCUCGCUGGCCCGAUACUGACGCUGAGGCACGAAAGCGUGGGGAGCAAACCGG